AGUUCAACCCUCAUCCUAAGGCUGGUGAAUGCUGCAUUUGCUAUGUAAUCUUGCAUUUGGAACCUGGUGUGCUUCAAAAACUGUAAGCGUGUAAGAUUACAUUGUGACAAACAAAUCUGUUCAUCAUUGGGAUGAUCCACGUUUUUUUGACACUUGCUGAUUUAAGGCGGAGAGGUUCGACUUUAAGUGUGACUCUGUGAGUAAUACUCUGCUUGGCAUAUGUCAAUUAUCUUCAUUAAAUGUGCUCUCUGUUGUUGUAUGUUGAAGUAAUGGUAGUAUGAUACAUGUGAGUUGUCUUGAGCAUCAUAUUAGAGAGCAGUUGAACAAAAUAGCUCUAAUCCUCUUAAGGUGCUCUUAGGUUAUGGAACUUGAUGCACAUACAUACGAUAGAACAUUUUUUCUGUUUUA
Molecule: long non-coding RNA, 408 nt
Organism: Capsella rubella
Lineage: Eukaryota; Viridiplantae; Streptophyta; Magnoliopsida; Brassicales; Brassicaceae
Exons: 3
Source: RefSeq, a predicted model, not a curated record